This 465-nucleotide ribosomal RNA is filed under the name uncultured bacterium. Its description in RNAcentral is "bacterial SSU rRNA". It matches the Rfam family "Bacterial small subunit ribosomal RNA", at positions 585 to 1050 of the family's 1533-position model. The record is from RNAcentral.
AAGUGGGAUGUGAAAGCCCUGGGCUCAACCUGGGAACUGCAUCCCAAACUGUCAGGCUAGAGUAUGGUAGAGGGGGGGCGGAAUUCCCGGUGUAGCGGUGAAAUGCGUAGAGAUCGGGAGGAACAUCAGUGGCGAAGGCGGCCCCCUGGACUGAUACUGACGCUGAGGUGCGAAAGCGUGGGGAUCAAACAGGAUUAGAUACCCUGGUAGUCCACGCUGUAAACGAUGAGAACUGGCCGUCGGGCCCUUCGGGGUUUGGUGGCGUAGCUAACGCGCUAAGUUCUCCGCCUGGGGAGUACGGCCGCAAGGCUAAAACUCAAAUGAAUUGACGGGGGCCCGCACAAGCGGUGGAGCAUGUGGUUUAAUUCGAUGCAACGCGAAGAACCUUACCUGCCCUUGACAUCCUCGGAACUUGUCAGAGAUGACUUGGUGCCUUCGGAACCGAGAGACAGGUGCUGCAUGGCU